This is a long non-coding RNA of Canis lupus familiaris (dog), 744 nucleotides long. RefSeq lists it as uncharacterized. The transcript is spliced from 4 exons. The record is from RefSeq and is a predicted model, not a curated record. Lineage: Eukaryota; Metazoa; Chordata; Mammalia; Carnivora; Canidae.
AUAAGCAACAUGGUACAAUAAAAAGAGUAUGGGCUUUGAGGUCAAAAAAGCCUGUGCUCCAAUUCUGCCAUUUACUUACUGUGGAAAUUUGGGUAACUUUAAGUUUUUUUAGAGCUGAGGAAAGGGAGGCUCAGAAAGUGUUCCUGCUUCAGGAGGCUGGUAAAGGCUGGUGGGAGACAGCAUUUUUAAACAACAACAAAAUACUAAGAAGCUCAGAAGAUCACUAGCUGAUUGUGAGGGUGAACUUGCCAAAAGGAGGACUUGAUGAGCUAAGAGCUUUGCUCACUAGACAGCAGCCUCCGUGCUGCAGCCAGGGUAGCAAGGUUCAUGAGAGGAAAAUGAAAACAACAGUGGAGGGAAGGGGCGCGCCUGGCACUCAGAAUGUGCCUUCACGAGUGUGCGGUAUCUCACUCUGGGGCUCCAUUUCGGUAAAAUUGUGCACGUUAAAAGGAGAAAGAGGUUGUGACCUGCGCACUGCACACUCAACCAGACCCGAUGAAGGCUUCCUCAGAAUGUGAGGCUGGAGGCAUUGGGGAAUUUACCUGAAGUCACUCUAUUAAAGAUCUUAAUUUUGAAUUCAGAAAUCAACAAUAUGGUCUCUAAACCAAGUAGCACAGUCCAGUGGGAAAGGAAGACAGAGAAGCAAAGAAUUGCAGUGCUAUGUGAUAAGUACAAAGACAGAGGUGAGCUCUGAGUGCUACCAAACACAGAGGCACUUAACCAAGCUGGAAAAGGGUAAGGGAA